Molecule: unclassified non-coding RNA, 343 nt
Filed under: soil metagenome
Description: partial contains 5.8S ribosomal RNA, internal transcribed spacer 2, and large subunit ribosomal RNA
Rfam family: 5.8S ribosomal RNA (bases 1-120)
Source: RNAcentral
GAUGAAGAACGCAGCGAAAUGCGAUAAGUAAUGUGAAUUGCAGAAUUCAGUGAAUCAUCGAACCUUUGAACGCACAUUGCGCCCGCCAGCAUUCUGGCGGGCAUGCCUGUUCGAGCGUCAUUUCAACCCUCGAGCCCCCCCGGGGGCCUCGGUGUUGGGGGACGGCACACCAGCCGCCCCCGAAAUGCAGUGGCGACCCCGCCGCAGCCUCCCCUGCGUAGUAGCACACACCUCGCACCGGAGCGCGGAGGCGGUCACGCCGUAAAACGCCCAACUUUCUUAGAGUUGACCUCGGAUCAGGUAGGAAUACCCGCUGAACUUAAGCAUAUCAAUAAGCGGAGGA